Molecule: unclassified non-coding RNA, 1557 nt
Filed under: Dimorphilus gyrociliatus
Lineage: Eukaryota; Metazoa; Annelida; Polychaeta; Dinophilidae
Description: dgyrCDS1829
Source: RNAcentral
ACUCUUUAACUUUCCUAGUCACGCGAAUAUAUAGAUAGAUAAUAUACUUAAAAGGGUAAGAACUGAAAUAUUUUCAGAUAGGAUACCAGAUAAGAGAGAAUAUAUUAUUGUUUUAAUUAUAUACAUAUGAAUGUAUAAAUGCUUGUGCACGAAAGAGAGAUCAAUAUGAACUCUUCUUAACACUCCUUUAAAGAAAUAUCAUUGUUUGAAAAGGGUUUGUUGAUUUUACAUUAAGGACUGAACGUGACGAAGUUAACAGGGACAAUUUUCUAUCUUCAUAUCCUCCUGUUUCCUCACAGAGUGAAUAUACAUUUUUCUACAGUUAGAGAGCUAAGCGAUUGGAUUACAUCGGAUUUCUUUUGUUAAACUCUCGGCAACGAUGAAUAUGACAUAAAGUUUUCAACAAUGCCGAAUCAAUUGCGCAGUAAUACGUUGCCGCCGAUCGUUUCGAACACCACCGGUAGUAAUUCCACAAAUUCCUAUAACUUUUCUUCUCGAUUCCACCGCACAACAAAUUCAAGAGAGAGUAUGCUUAAAACCGAAAAUAGUCGGACAAGCAGCAGAAUGAAACUAUCUCCGAGAACACCUCCCGCUUCCUAUGGUACUUGUAAUUCAUCUUUAGCAAAUGAAUUUGCCACGAGAUUUUUUGGUAAAGCUGGUGGACGGCCUUCAGUAAUAGGCUUAGACGCCAAAAGAAUAUUAAAAGACGGCUAUUCAACUUCCAGAAGUCUUACGGGAUUUUUCCCAGCUGUAAAACUGCGAAAUCUAGAAGGUUCUAGUUCAAAUCUCAGAGGUGGCGAGAAGCACCUAUUGAAAUUAAAGAUCAAACCAUGCAGAGACAAACCAGAGAAUCAUAUUUCAAAACCGUUGUCUUUGUCUCUGGAACUUGGUCCCGUUAGGAGAGAAAGUGCUUCGACAAGACAAAAUAUGACAAUUAGACCAGAAUAUUGCGUACAAGCUCCUUUAGAACCCGAAAAGUUGGUUCGAGAAUCGUCAAGAGGCGAUUUAACAUCGCUACCAAGACCAAGAAUGGUUGUAAAAAAUAACGAAAGUCCAUGGAUAUUUAGGCAAAAAGUUAAACAAGGUAUGAACGGACUAAGUCGGUUAGUAGCGAGUAGAACUCCUACAAACUCAUCAAACUUUAUGUAUUUGCACUAUUGAAAAUUGUUUUCCUCUUUAAAGUUUUCUCUUAUUCAACUAUAUAUUUACUUUAUGUUAAUAAUGUCAUUUAAACUGCAGAAUAAAUAUUGACAGUGACUCUUAAUCUUAUGUAUAUCAUUUUCUUUUACUUUGAAAUUUCUAAUUCUUCUUUAUUCUAUAAAAGCCAAACAAAAUUAUAUAUAUAUAAGUUUAUAAAUAUUUCCCAAUUACUGACGUCAUCUAGAGCGAAAGCUAUGUUAAUCUAUCUCAAUUUUUUCGUCAACCUGAUUUAUUUAUGUUAAUCUUUAAUCCAUAAAAAAAGCCAAGCGGCUAGGGAUUUUAUAUUUUUUAUUACUAAUAAUAGAUAAUAAAGCCGAUUCGUCAAGUAGUCGCAAUACUAAAUCUUUUCAGUUUAGA